Molecule: ribosomal RNA, 460 nt
Filed under: uncultured bacterium
Lineage: Bacteria
Description: partial 16S ribosomal RNA
Rfam family: Bacterial small subunit ribosomal RNA
Source: RNAcentral
CCUACGGGGGGCAGCAGUGAGGAAUAUUGGUCAAUGGACGAGAGUCUGAACCAGCCAAGCAGCGUGAAGGAUGACUGCCCUGUGGGUUGUAAACUUCUUUUAUAUGGGAAUAAAACCGGGUAUGCAUACCCUCUUGUAUGUACCAUAUGAAUAAGGAUCGGCUAACUCCGUGCCAGCAGCCGCGGUAAUACGGCGGAUCCGAGCGUUAUCCGGAUUUAUUGGGUUUAAAGGGAGCGUAGGUGGAGUGUUAAGUCAGUUGUGAAAGUUUGCGGCUCAACCGUAGAAUUGCAGUUGAAACUGGCAGUCGUGAGUUGGGUAGAGGUGGGCGGAAUUCGGGGUGUAGCGGUGAAAUGCUUAGAUAUCUCGAAGAACUCCGAUGGCGAAGGCAGCUCACUGGACUGCAACUGACGCUGAUGCUCGAAAGUGUGGGUAUCAAACAGGAUUAGAUACCCGAGUAGUC